CCAAUAGCGUAUAUUAAAGUUGUUGCAGUUAAAAAGCUCGUAGUUGAAUUUCGGGAUCAAUUUGUCGGUCGUGCCUCGGUACGUACUGGCAUUAUUGGUUUCUCCCUUCUGACGAACCACGAUGUCAUUAAUUUGGUGUCGCGGGAAAUCAGGACUGUUACUUUGAAAAAAUUAGAGUGUUUAAAGUAAGCUCACGCUUGAAUACAUUUGCAUGGAAUAAUGAAAUAGGACGUUUGAUUCUUUUUUGUUGGUUUCUAGGAUCGACGUAAUGAUUAAUAGGGAUAGUUGGGGGCAUUAGUAUUCAAUUGUCAGAGGUGAAAUUCUUGGAUUUAUUGAAGACUAACUACUGCGAAAGCAUUUGCCAAGGAUGUUUUCAUUAAUCAGUGAACGAAAGUUAGGGGAUCGAAGACGAUCAGAUACCGUCGUAGUCUUAACCAUAAACUAUGCCGACUAGGGAUCGGAUGAUGUUAAUUUUUUAAUGACUCAUUCGGCGCCUUACG
RNAcentral lists this unclassified non-coding RNA (500 nucleotides) under uncultured Glomus. Its description in RNAcentral is "SSU rRNA". It matches the Rfam family "Eukaryotic small subunit ribosomal RNA", at positions 591 to 1092 of the family's 1831-position model. The record is from RNAcentral. Lineage: Eukaryota; Fungi; Glomeromycota; Glomeromycetes; Glomerales; Glomeraceae.